UUAGUACUCCCUCCGUCCGAAAAUACUUGUCACGAAAACGGGUAAAAAUGAAUGUAUCUAAAACUAAAAUACGACUAGAUACAUUCAUUUUUUCGACAAGUAUUUCCGAACAGAGGGAGUAUCUU
Non-coding RNA from Triticum aestivum (bread wheat), 125 nucleotides. NCBI's taxonomy places the organism in Eukaryota, Viridiplantae, Streptophyta, Magnoliopsida, Poales, Poaceae. The record is from Rfam.